Long non-coding RNA from Lynx canadensis (Canada lynx), 1355 nucleotides. RefSeq lists it as uncharacterized. The record is from RefSeq and is a predicted model, not a curated record. The transcript has 5 exons. Lineage: Eukaryota; Metazoa; Chordata; Mammalia; Carnivora; Felidae.
UAGUCCACUGUGUACCUUCCACCGAUUUUCCCUAAGCAGAAAAAAAAAUAACCCUUUUAGCCAGACAGUUGAGGUGGGGGCUUUGUGGUGAGAGGUAGUGAGGGCAGAUCUUCCCCUGCCACUGAGAUCGAUCAUUUCCCUCAUUUAUAAAGGCACUUCUUCCUCCUAAGUGAAUAUAUAUAUAUAUAUAUAUAUUCAUUUAUUUUUUUGCACUGCAGGCCUGCAAAAAUUAUGACUUGGGCGACAGGAAGGGAAGGGGUUCAUGCUCCUCCUUUGCUGGCCUGAUGCCACUGGUCCCUCUCAGGGGCUUACCCUCCAACCCCAGGGACUCCUUAACCUAGGACACAUUGAGGGACCCUUGGCAAAGAUGCUCCUGUCCCCAAAUUCCUUAAAUUGCUGUACUGAUUGGGGACAGAUUUAUCAAGUUUUCAUGCACUACUUGAGUAUGUGAUAGACACAACCAAGGACCCCAAACUAAGUUGGAGGAAGUUUUCUUUCUUGUUACCUUUCCCUUUUCCUUUGUUUGUUUGUUUGUUGUCUUGAAAACAAAUUUAUUGUAGGUCCCUUCUUUUUCCUUUUUGGACUCCCAAUGGCUAAAUGGAAUUCAGAGCAGAGAGCAACUGUUGCAAUUGCUCGCAAGGCUGGAGCCGGUGAAGACACGAAUAAAGCAAAGGCAGCAAGUAGUGCUUGAAUUCUUCUGAUCUUUCCCAGCAUCUUACUGAGAUAAAUUAUUUUAAACAUUUGGUCACCUUUUGUGGUUUGAAACUUCAAUUCGAGUGGAUUCCAUUUCACACACUUACUGAGAAGCUUCAGGAGAAGCCUGGUCCUUUCCUAGGUGCAGAGGACACAGGAGAAAGCAAGACACCCAGAGGUCCUGUGGUCUCCACACUGGGGAUAUGCUUGCCUGCAGUUCACAGUCAAGCAGGGGAGGCAGAUAAUACAAACAAGCAAUGACCUUGAAGCCUGAGAGCCUGUGGCUGUCAGGAGAGAAAUUCACUCCAGCUGGCCCGGAAAAGUGGGGAAUUGUUAGGGUACAGAGAGCUUCACGGGGUGUGUUGCUCACCGGGAAGCUGUGAGGAUGGGAACAGCUCUUGUGGACUAUGUAGGACAAUGUGGCCGCCUGCCACUCGAACCUUCCCUUACACCGCAUGCCCCUCUGUGCUCAUGCGUGAGGCCUCCAGCCUCCAUAUCUGCCCCCGGCAGAGCUGACUCCUGCUCUCACUUGCCGAAGGACUUGACAGCUGCAUUGAAAAGCCUCCCGUGGACUUCACCACAAUCUUUAAAAGACUUUUUUGGAUCUUUUAUUUAUUUUUGAGAGAGGGACAGAGAGUGCGCAGGGGGAGGAACAGAGAGAG